UUCUGCUUUUCCUCGUUUUCCCACUUCUUCGUCUCUGUCUUCUCUCUUUUCCUCUUCCAGGCUCUCAGCUCCCUUGUACUUCGUCUCUGGUGCCAUGGAAUUUAGGGUUUAGUCAGUCACUCGAUCAAGGAACUUUUAUUGUUAUUCUAAAGAAAGACUCCCAGAAGCUCCUGCAAUGGCAGCUUCUUUAGCCGCCUCUACUUCACUGUUACCAGAACCCACGUUUCUCCGUCCAGAAACUAGUCGUAGACUUCGAGUUCCUCUCUACCGAUUCCAGGUUCAGAAUUCUAGGUAUAAUUUGGUUCUGCGGACUAGAUUCAGAGCGGUUCAGGAAGAACGGACUGCAGUUCUGAAGGAAGAGGAAGAAAGUGAAGACUCAUUGCGAAAUGAAGUGACUGUCUUGAAUUUGAAUGGUAAUGGCGGUAGAUACAGCUAUAACGGUUCGGUUGGGAGCUCCAAUGGCAGUGCUAGUGUUAUUAUUAAUGGAAAUGGAGCCGUUAAUGGGAGUCUGGUGAAGUAUGUUAAUGGGAAUGGCGCUGCCGCAUCGGUCGUUGAAGAAGUUUCUAUUUCGAAAUCAGAGGCGGUGGAGGAGAAGAAAAAGACUGUAGAGGACAUAGGACAGGAAGAAGCCUGGUUUAAGCAAGGUGGACGAGAUAAACUCGAGGUUUCUGUUGCACCUGGUGGCCGUUGGAACAGAUUUAAAACCUAUUCAACAAUACAAAGAACUCUUGAAAUAUGGGGAUUUGUACUGACAUUUCUAUUUAGAACUUGGUUGAACAAUCAGAAGUUCUCUUAUCGAGGAGAAAUGACAGAGGAGAAAAAGGUUAAUAGGCGUAAAGAGCUUGCUAAGUGGUUAAAGGAAAGUGUUUUGAGAUUGGGCCCAACAUUCAUCAAAAUUGGCCAGCAGUUCUCCACAAGAGUAGACAUUCUUCCUCAGGAAUAUGUUGAUCAGUUGUCUGAACUUCAGGAUCAAGUUCCUCCAUUCCCAUCGGAAACUGCUGCAUCUAUAAUUGAGGAAGAGCUUGGUCCUGUGGAUGAUAUUUUUGAUCGUUUCGACUAUGAGCCAAUAGCUGCUGCUAGUCUUGGCCAGGUCCAUCGUGCAAAAGUGAAGGGGCAAGAAGUUGUGGUCAAAGUACAAAGGCCUGGGCUUAAGGAACUUUUUGAUAUUGAUUUGAAAAAUCUAAGGGUAAUAUCAGAAUAUCUUCAGAAAGUUGACCCCAAGUCUGAUGGUGCAAAGAGGGAUUGGGUUGCCAUCUAUGAUGAAUGUGCAAGUGUCCUAUAUCAGGAGAUCGAUUAUACAAAGGAAGCAUCUAAUGCAGAACGGUUUGCAAAUAACUUCAAAAACAUGGAUUAUGUAAAAGUCCCAACAAUAUUGUGGGAAUACACUACGCCACAGGUUCUGACAAUGGAAUAUGUCCCUGGAAUAAAGAUAAACAGGAUAAAAGCUUUGGAUGAGUUGGGUGUUGAUCGGCAAAGGUUGGGCCGCUAUGCUGUUGAAUCUUACUUGGAACAGAUAUUAUCUCAUGGUUUUUUCCAUGCUGACCCUCAUCCUGGAAAUAUUGCUGUGGAUGAUGUGAAUGGUGGACGGCUUAUCUUCUACGACUUCGGAAUGAUGGGAAGUAUCAGUCCAAAUAUCAGAGAGGGCCUACUUGAAGCAUUCUAUGCAAUUUAUGAGAAGGACCCUGAUAAAGUGCUUCAGGCCAUGAUCCAGAUGGGUGUUCUCGUGCCUACUGGAGAUAUGACAGCUGUUAGAAGGACAGCGCAAUUCUUUCUUAAUAGCUUUGAGGAGCGCCUUGCAGCGCAAAGGAAAGAGAGAGAGAUAGCUAAAACAGAGCUUGGCUUUAAAAAACCAUUAACUAAGGAGGAAAGGAUAGAGAAAAAGAAGCAACGGCUAGCUGCAAUUGGGGAGGAUCUAUUGGCAAUUGCUGCAGAUCAACCUUUUCGUUUUCCUGCCACUUUCACGUUUGUUGUUAGAGCAUUUUCAGUAUUGGAUGGCAUUGGGAAGGGUCUUGACCCUCGAUUUGACAUUACAGAAAUUGCCAAACCUUAUGCCAUGGAAUUGCUGAGGUUUCGUGAAGCUGGAGUUGAAGUUAUCAUAAAGGACUUCAAAAAGAGAUGGGACCGACAAUCCCGUGCAUUUGCCAACAUAUUUAGACAGGCUGACAGAGUUGAGAAGCUUGCUGAAAUCAUUCAGCGCUUGGAACAAGGUAAUCUGAAGCUUCGUGUUCGAACUUUGGAGUCUGAGAGGGCUUUCCAACGUGUUGCAGCUGUUCAAAAGACAGUGGGAAAUGCAGUGGUUGCUGGAAGUCUACUAAACCUGGCAACAGUACUGUAUCUAAAUUCAAUUCGAGUUCCUGCUAUGGUAGGAUACGUACUUUGUGCAUUUUUUGGCAUUCAAAUUUUCUUUGGCAUUCUCAAGGUCAAAAAAUUAGAUCAACAAGAGAAGCUGAUAACAGGCACAGCCUGAACCAUUGGUGACCAGGCUAGGGAUAGGGGUCAUUGCCUGAUAUGAUGGUAAAAUCUCAGGCUGAAAAAGGUUUUUGAAUGCCAAAUGUCAGGUUCAGCCUUAAGCUUUUUGGUUGUAAAGCAAUCUCCAACAAUUUUUAGAAGCAAACAAGCCGAAGAACUGUGAAGAGUGGUUUUCUCUGUGAAUAUGAACUCAAACUUGCCAACAUUCAUGUUUUCCUAUGAUGCAAAGAAAAGAAGGUUAUCACAGUUGGCAUUGAGUCCUUGCAGAACAGUUCUGAUCCCCUCAUUAAAAGGUUUUUGUUAUACGACAUUUUGCGUCCAAGAGUUGGACUUUUUGUAACGGAACAUUUGCAGAAAAAAAUCGGUGUCAUGAUAUAUCAGCAAUAAUCUUACUCAAUUCAUGACAGCUUUGAGCCUAAAUGUAGAAUCACUGUUUUCAAGAGCCUCCUAAGUUGGCAACCCAAAACCAUCAUCCUUGCUUUGAACAAGAAUGUCCACAAGUGUCUACAAGUGUAAAUUGUGAACAACUUCUGGUGUAUCAUAUUAAUAACCUUUUGUAUAUGUUUUCUGAGGUUCAUAAUGAAAUGUCAAAUAAUUUAUGAACGAAA
Molecule: RNA transcript, 3077 nt
Organism: Nelumbo nucifera (sacred lotus)
Lineage: Eukaryota; Viridiplantae; Streptophyta; Magnoliopsida; Proteales; Nelumbonaceae
Gene: ATH13
Gene name: ABC2 homolog 13
Source: RefSeq, a predicted model, not a curated record